AAAUUGAAGAGUUUGAUCAUGGCUCAGAUUGAACGCUGGCGGCAGGCCUAACACAUGCAAGUCGAGCGGUAGCACAGAGAGCUUGCUCUCGGGUGACGAGCGGCGGACGGGUGAGUAAUGUCUGGGAAACUGCCUGAUGGAGGGGGAUAACUACUGGAAACGGUAGCUAAUACCGCAUAACGUCGCAAGACCAAAG
Molecule: non-coding RNA, 196 nt
Filed under: Klebsiella aerogenes
Lineage: Bacteria; Pseudomonadati; Pseudomonadota; Gammaproteobacteria; Enterobacterales; Enterobacteriaceae
Also listed under: 1 other name
Description: partial 16S ribosomal RNA
Rfam family: Bacterial small subunit ribosomal RNA
Source: RNAcentral